Molecule: transfer RNA, 74 nt
Organism: Loxodonta africana (African savanna elephant)
Lineage: Eukaryota; Metazoa; Chordata; Mammalia; Proboscidea; Elephantidae
Rfam family: tRNA
About the family: Transfer RNA (tRNA) molecules are approximately 80 nucleotides in length. Their secondary structure includes four short double-helical elements and three loops (D, anti-codon, and T loops).
Source: Rfam
CCCUCGGUGGUACAAAUGGUUAAUCUGUUUGGCUGCUAACCAAAAGGUUGGAGGUUUGAGUCCACCCACAGGGC